CCUACGGGAGGCAGCAGAGGAGGAAGCUCCGGCUAACUACGUGCCAGCAGCCGCGGUAAUACGUAGGGAGCAAGCGUUGUCCGGAUUUACUGGGUGUAAAGGGUGCGUAGGCGGCUUUGCAAGUCAGAAGUGAAAUCCAUGGGCUUAACCCAUGAACUGCUUUUGAAACUGCAGAGCUUGAGUGGAGUAGAGGUAGGCGGAAUUCCCGGUGUAGCGGUGAAAUGCGUAGAGAUCGGGAGGAACACCAGUGGCGAAGGCGGCCUGCUGGGCUCUAACUGACGCUGAGGCACGAAAGCGUGGGUAGCAAACAGGAUUAGAUACCCGGGUAGUC
RNAcentral lists this ribosomal RNA (331 nucleotides) under uncultured bacterium. RNAcentral's name for it is "partial 16S ribosomal RNA". It matches the Rfam family "Bacterial small subunit ribosomal RNA", at positions 465 to 795 of the family's 1533-position model. The record is from RNAcentral.